AUAUAAGAAACUUAACUCUCUUGAAAUAUUUUGUCGGGCGGUACAUUUAUAUUGUAUAACAAAAUUUUAAAAAUUUUCACACGGCUCUGAAAAUACAAUCGGGCGGUGAUGAGAAUCAAGGAAUUUAUUUUAUGUGGCCUAAUACUCGUGUUCUGUAUAAUUGCUCUAUAAAUACUGUAUACUUUAUUCGUUCAUUAUAAGAUAUUUACAAAUGUGUAAAAAUUACAGUACCUUGCGGCUUGUCUUCACAGCGCUAUGUACCAAUGAUAGCUAUACAAGUAUGAUAUUCGACCCCUCUACAUUCGACUCCUCUAUAUUCGACUAUUUCUUCACAAUUUUUCAAUAAAGUGUUUAUCAUACACGUUCAAGUCAGUAUGGUGACAGUAUUUACUUUAUAUCAGUUAUCACAUGCAAUUUCAUGCUUUCAAAUACCGUCGGUUGCAACUAAGGGUGAACAGUUGCGGAUAAAACAUUCUCUAUUCUCAUUAAAAAGCCUGUUAAGGUUUCCAGUAGGUCUCUAGCCCAACACCUUCCGACUACAUAAAGUUUUGUUACUUAUUAUUGUACACAUGAGAAAGAACGAUUAAGUGUUGUUGCUCUUGACAAACAUUGAGGAUUCUGAUCACACGAACUUAGAGACGCGAAUAUGUUUUUGUGAGCGACUGUUCAUUGUUAGUUGUAAGCAACGGUACAACAUACUAUCAACAUUUUUCCGACUGUGACCGAAUGUGCAACCAUUUAUUUUUCAAAGUUGUUAUCAAUUCCUAAAAUUUAUUUAUAGUGUAACGGCCUGCUCAACACUCAGUAGUCGCGAUGAUUUCAUUUAGAAAUGUAGUUACCGGAAAAGGAACUGAUUCUAGAAUAUGUAAAAAAGCAUUGGCUAACAGUAUAAAGCGAUGUGAAGACAAGGAAUAAGUUUUUACAGUUGCUAUUUGCUAUAAAAUCUAUAGAUAAACCAG
Molecule: non-coding RNA, 959 nt
Organism: Paramuricea clavata
Lineage: Eukaryota; Metazoa; Cnidaria; Anthozoa; Malacalcyonacea; Plexauridae
Source: the annotation of a GenBank genome assembly